UACAGGGGGGGCAAGCGUUGUUCGGAAUUACUGGGCGUAAAGGGUUCGUAGGCGGCGCACUAAGCCACACGUGAAAUCCCUCAGCUUAACUGGGGAACUGCGUGUGGGACUGGAGCGCUUGAGGGUAGGAGAGGAAUGCGGAAUUCCAGGUGUAGCGGUGAAAUGCGUAGAUAUCUGGAGGAACACCGGUGGCGAAGGCGGCAUUCUGGACUAUUUCUGACACUGAUGAACGACAGCCAGGGGAGCAAACGGG
RNAcentral lists this ribosomal RNA (253 nucleotides) under uncultured bacterium. Its description in RNAcentral is "partial 16S ribosomal RNA". It matches the Rfam family "Bacterial small subunit ribosomal RNA", at positions 524 to 776 of the family's 1533-position model. The record is from RNAcentral.